Non-coding RNA from Camillea tinctor, 82 nucleotides. The record is from the annotation of a GenBank genome assembly. Lineage: Eukaryota; Fungi; Ascomycota; Sordariomycetes; Xylariales; Graphostromataceae.
GGCCACAUAGCGCAGUGGUUAAGCGCUUAACAGGCAUUAAUAUAAAAUAUUAAUGUAAUAGGUUCAAAUUUUAUUGUGGUUU